RNAcentral lists this unclassified non-coding RNA (241 nucleotides) under Hevea brasiliensis (rubber tree). Lineage: Eukaryota; Viridiplantae; Streptophyta; Magnoliopsida; Malpighiales; Euphorbiaceae. The record is from RNAcentral.
CGGGACCCUGGACGUUAACCAGUGCAUCAGACUACCGGAUGAAAUCACAGGAAUGAAACCAAAGGGAAUAGGAGCUGAUUUUGCUAGGGGAUACUUGAGUAAUGUAUGCGUUGCUGGAGAAUUGCAAAGAAAUGGCCUCGGCUACGCUCUUAUUUGUAAAGCAAAGACGGUUGCUAAAGACAUGGGAAUAAGUGAUCUAUACGUCCAUGUUGCCAUCGACAACGAGCCAGCAAAAAAGUUG